Dipodomys ordii (Ord's kangaroo rat) is the source of this 70-nucleotide non-coding RNA. NCBI's taxonomy places the organism in Eukaryota, Metazoa, Chordata, Mammalia, Rodentia, Heteromyidae. The record is from Rfam.
GGGAAUGUGGCUUAGUGGUAAAGUGCUUGUCUAGCAUGCAUGAACCCUGGGUUCGAUUCCUCAGUACCCC